UGCCAGCAGCCGCGGUAAUACGAGGGGGGCUAGUGUUAUUCGGAAUAACUGGGCGUAAAGAGUAUGUAGGUGGUCCACCAAGUAAAAAAUAACAUCCCAAAGCUUAACUUUGGUAAUAUUGAUAAACGGGUGAACUUGAGUUUUAUAGGGGAUAGUAGUAUUUCUAGUGUAGGGAUAAAAUCCGUAAAUAUUAGAAGGACUGUUAUAAGCGAAGGCAGCUAUCUGGAUAAGAACUGACACUAAAGUACUAAAGCAUGGGGAGCAAAUAGGAUUAGAUA
RNAcentral lists this ribosomal RNA (278 nucleotides) under uncultured bacterium. RNAcentral's name for it is "partial 16S ribosomal RNA". It matches the Rfam family "Bacterial small subunit ribosomal RNA", at positions 506 to 784 of the family's 1533-position model. The record is from RNAcentral.